GGGAGGGGGAGGGACGCACACUCUGUAAACAGAAAUAGGUGCAUCACCGGUCACUGAGCUGGCAAGCUAAAGUUAGCUAGUUAGUCACAUAAAUGUACGUUCAGCCUUUAAGUAUUUAGCCUUUAAGUAUUUAUCUUAUGAAGUCAGCAUGGCUUAACAUAGUUUCUUUCGUCUUUGACCUCGACAUUGUUGCUGGAUAGAUACUUUCAUACCUAACAUGCUGGCGCUGCUAGCUAGCUAAUGCUAACGGCGCUAGCUAAACUCAUAUCUGGAUGCACUCUAGUUCCCGAGAGAGCAGCAUACUGGCCCUACAUUCCCAAACCUGAAGCCCCCUGUACCCAGUAGGAAAGACCAGGGAAAAGUGUUAGUUUAAGGUACAACUUCCUAUUGAGGAAAUAUAAGACAACUCAAUGUCACAUUUAGAUUUAGAGUUACUGACAUGAAUAGAAGCAUAUACAAGCAAUCUAUCAAAUGUAUUUUAUAAAAACCCAUUUUACAUCAGCAGUAGUGCUUAUACAGAUACCCAGCCUAAAACCCCAAAGAGCAAGCAAUGCAGACGUAGAAGCACAGUGGCUAGGAAAAACUCCCCAGAAAGGCAGGAACCUAGGAAGAAACCUAGAGAGGAACCAGGCUCUGAGGGUUGGCCAGUCCUCUUCUGGCUGUGCAGGUGGAGAUUAUAAAAGAGUACAGCUAUUUAGCCAGAUUAUUCUUCAAGACGUUUAAAUGUUCAUAGAUGACCAGCAGUGUCAAAUAAGAGGGUUAUAGAGGGUGCAAUAGUUCAGCAACUCAGGAGUAAAUGCCAGUUGGCUCUUCAUAGCUGAGCAUUUAGAUGUUGAGACAGUAGGUCCGGUAGAGGGAGACAGUGUCAAACAGCGGGUCUGGGACAAGUUAGUAUCUCCGAUGAGCCUUUAGCAGGUCAGGGUUCCAUAGCUGCAGACAUAAACAGCAGAGACUGGAUGAGCAGCACGACUAGGUGGACUGGAGACAGGGACAGCCAGGAGUCGUCAGGCCAGGUAGUCCUGAGGCAUGGUCUUAGAGCUCAUGUCCUGCAUCCUUUAUUUAAAUUGAGCGUAGACUAAGCCCUAGAGGUUUGUAACUUCACAUGAUUUAGCCUACUUGUCAAUCCAGAUCCUCUUUACUGUACAUGGUUGAAAGUAAUUUUUCCCAGGCUAAUCACCGAAUGGCCUACUACAAGGGUGUGGUCAGGGUGUGGUCGCAAUAACAUCAGCGACAGCCCCGAAACCUGAAGGAUCUGGAGAAGGUCUGUAUGGAGGAGUGGGCCAAAAUCCCUGCUGCAGUGUGUGCAAACCUGGUCAAGAACUACAGGAAACGUAUGAUCUCUGUAAUUGCAAACAAAGGUUUCUGUACCAAAUAUUAAGUUCUGCUUUUCUGGUGUAUCAAAUACUUAUGUCAUACAAUAAAAUGCAAAUGAAUUACUUAAAAAUCAUACAAUGUGAUUUUCUGGAUUUUUGUUUUAGAUUCUGUCUCUCACAGUUGAAUUGUAAAAAUUACAGACCUCUACAUGCUUUGUAAGUAGGAAAAUCGGCAGUGUAUCAAAUACUUGUUCUCCCCACUGUACUUACUGUCACUUUGUGCAUCUCUCUUUCAGAUCUGCCAUGCACUCCACCACUGCCUGACAGACUCACCCAGAAGUGCGUACACUGGGCCUAUUAAGACUGACAAGCAGAGAUGGGUGGCUGACAAGGAAAAAUAAAACAACAUGCGCUCACACACAUUAUCCACAAUGUAAAUAAGUUGUAAUUACUUGUUUAUUUAAUGUUUGGUCCAUUUUAUUUUAGUAUUGGAGAUAUCUACUCCUUCAUAUCCAUUCUCAAUAUCUACAUAAUUACUCUAAAUAUCUAUUAAAUCAAAGUGUGAUUGAUAAUAUUGUAAAAGACUAUGGCUUAAUGUUUACAGUUUGAGGAAAUUCUGUGUGCUUUUUUCUGAGUUGAAAAACAUGUCUCCCUCUCACACACCCACAUUAGACACAAUGUAAAAAAAAAUGUACUAACUUGUUUAUUUUAUGUAUGCUACAUUUUAUUUGAGGAAAAUAUCUUCAAUAAACUACAAUCACAGUUAAA
Long non-coding RNA from Salvelinus fontinalis (brook trout), 2081 nucleotides. RefSeq lists it as uncharacterized. The record is from RefSeq and is a predicted model, not a curated record. NCBI's taxonomy places the organism in Eukaryota, Metazoa, Chordata, Actinopteri, Salmoniformes, Salmonidae. The transcript has 2 exons.